Non-coding RNA from Annulohypoxylon truncatum, 73 nucleotides. The record is from the annotation of a RefSeq genome assembly. NCBI's taxonomy places the organism in Eukaryota, Fungi, Ascomycota, Sordariomycetes, Xylariales, Hypoxylaceae.
GCCCGCGUAGCUCAAUCGGUAGAGCGUGAGACUCUUAAUCUCAAGGCUGCGGGUUCGACCCCCGCCGUGGGCU